This 251-nucleotide long non-coding RNA is filed under the name Phaseolus vulgaris (common bean). Its description in RNAcentral is "long non-coding RNA (PVUL_LNC000160)". Lineage: Eukaryota; Viridiplantae; Streptophyta; Magnoliopsida; Fabales; Fabaceae. The record is from RNAcentral.
UGACCCUGCAGAACACUUCUUCUGAUGAUGUCGUGUCGUUCUUCUCGUCUUGUCGGCCUUCCGGUUGGUCCUCCGGUUGGUCUUCUUCCGACUGGAUCUUCAGCUUGGACACGAUGGGGGGAGUACCUGCGAAGACACUCCGACGAUCAAGUCAGACCGAGAGCUAGGUACCAGAAGAGUGGGGAGUGAAUAGUUACCUUGGGUGAUGUGCCUCUUCUGCUAUUUAUACUGCUCUAGGUGGGCUAUGGCCG